Molecule: ribosomal RNA, 457 nt
Filed under: bacterium ROME1087sa
Lineage: Bacteria
Description: bacterial SSU rRNA
Rfam family: Bacterial small subunit ribosomal RNA
Source: RNAcentral
AGAGUUUGAUCAUGGCUCAGGACGAACGCUGGCGGUAUGCUUAACACAUGCAAGUCGAACGAGACGAGAUGGAAGUGCUUGCACGGAAAUCUUAGAAAGUGGCGAACGGGUGAGUAACGCGUGGGUAACCUGCCCUAUGGAAAGGAAUAGCCUCGGGAAACUGGGAGUAAUGCCUUAUAAUACAUUGAAGUCGCAUGGCUUUGAUGUUAAACGCUCCGGUGCCAUAGGAUGGACCCGCGUCCCAUUAGCUAGUUGGUGAGAUAACAGCCCACCAAGGCGACGAUGGGUAACCGGUCUGAGAGGGCGAACGGUCACACUGGAACUGAGACACGGUCCAGACUCCUACGGGAGGCAGCAGUGGGGAAUAUUGCGCAAUGGGGACAACCCUGACGCAGCAAUACCGCGUGAGUGAAGAAGGUUUUCGGAUCGUAAAGCUCUGUUAUUGGGGAAGAGGGAA